GCGGGAUGCACUUGAGCUAUGAAUCCACCUUGUUCUUUGGCUCAAGAACUAAAAUGAUCUUUCCAAAUGGAUGGACGGUGUGGAUACAACGCAUACAUCAUGGUGGGGCCCACAGAACUUGGCGACGUGACUUAAGUAGCGAAGCUCGCUACUCAAAACUCGUAACUCGGUUAGUAGCUAAUCUGUAUGCCCCUCUCCCCAAAAUCAGAAAACCCUAACGCCCCCAAAUCUCUCUCUCUCUCUCUCUCUCUCUCUCUCUCUCUCUCUCUCUCCAAGGGUCAAAUACAUUCAUCACUUAUCUCUGAAAAGUUCCAAUUUGGUGGAGUUCAAGUGCUGUUCUGCCAUGUGAAUUGGCCAUAUUGCAAAACACAGGAGCUUGGAAAAUCCUAGCCAUCUGAUGAGUGGCCUGACCAGCGAACGCUUAUGGAUAGUGGUCUGCAUUCAACUGGUAAGACCCAACGAUGGCCAGAGAUCCAAGCCAUCCAUCAGACAACACACUGAACAUGAGCAGGUUCUCCAGAUUCACGGUUUGCAUUCCACAAACAUCACAUUCAUUGGUGGACCCAACACAGUUCGGAUGCUAAUUUAUGUUAUCAUUCCCGUUUUGAAAUUUGAACAUGGCUGGAGAACAAGGGUUCUCUUUGCUUCCCUUUUGUCUUCUCAUCUUUUAAGCAUUUUAGUUGCUGCAUCUUUUGGGGCACUCUAAUGUGUUCCAGAUUGGAUGAAGGGAUGCUUGUCUAUUGUUGAUGAUAUGUGACACGACAGGGAUGAUGUGGCCCCGACACCAUGGGACACAAAUCUUGACUGAGGAAAGUCACAAAGAUUUGAGGUGUUGAUACCAGUUCAUUACAAUGGUAUAGGACAGGUAGUUGAUGGGAUGCUUGGAUACCUUCUUUUUCUUAGGGCCAGUUUGGCGCAUGGAAUUAGAUGGAUUUACGUGGGAUGGAAUUGGAUAUCCUUCAUUUAUUACUUCCGUCAGUGGUUGUCUACAAACCUGCCUUGAAACAGUUGUACCAACUUCUAUUGGAGCUGCCCUGGAUAUAAAUCUGAGCAAUGUGUCCUUCGUUUUCAUAUUCGUGACAUUUGCCACCAUGUUUGCUGCAAUUGUCGUUGUAUUCUAUAGUUACAGUGUUGAUAGCUUUCUUUUGCACCAUUGCUGUCAGCUAUGUAGGUUAUUCUAUUCCUCCCUCCGUCUCAUUUCUUUUUUGUUCUUGUCUUGUUAGUCGCAUCAUAAUGUUGUGUCCCUACUCCUUACAAUGCUGAUUUUGCAUGCUUCACUUCAGAAGUUGACUCCUCCUAAGCUACAGGCCCGAGCAGAUGGAUCUAAAAGAUUUCAGAAAAAACAAAUACAGCACUUGAAUUUCACACCAGUGAUACUAGCAUUCCCUACAAUUAUAAAGGGAAUCGCCAGAUGCUUUGGUGAUUAGUCAGUUGGAGGUCAGUUUCAUAUGCUUUCAACUUUUUCACAACUUAGAUAUCGUUAGUUGAGAGAAAUCUAUCAUAUGAUCCUAGUGUGGUUUGGUCAUUGGGUGGUUUUAUACACUUUCAACUCUAGUAUAAAAUUUUGUCAAUAUUUACUGCUGGUUGUUUACUCUUUUUUUUGUUGGCAUGGAUGGUUUAGAUUGUUCCAAUGGACUGCCCAGGUGAAUAGCUCCAUGUGAUUAAGAUAUGCUCUCUUGCUCUCAUAUUAUGAUUUUGAUGUGUAUAUAUAUUCAAUGAGUUUUCACAAUCACUCGUUUGAAUGGUCAUAUAUGCCCAAGUAUUAUGAUUUUGAUGUGUAUAUAUAUGCUUUCAUGUGUACCAGAUUUAAAAAACAAAUGUAAAGUUUUCUUUUUUGGCAGAAAUUUUACCAAAUGACUGCCCAAGUGAACAGCUACACUGGUUGAGAUAUGCUUUCUUGCCUUUACAUGUCUACACAUGAUUAAGAUAUGCUUUAUUGCCUAUACAUGUCUACACGUGAUUGAGGGCAACGGAAUUGAAUUUGUA
RNA transcript from Magnolia sinica, 1986 nucleotides. RefSeq lists it as uncharacterized. NCBI's taxonomy places the organism in Eukaryota, Viridiplantae, Streptophyta, Magnoliopsida, Magnoliales, Magnoliaceae. The transcript has 5 exons. The record is from RefSeq and is a predicted model, not a curated record.